Molecule: non-coding RNA, 3060 nt
Organism: Misgurnus anguillicaudatus (oriental weatherfish)
Lineage: Eukaryota; Metazoa; Chordata; Actinopteri; Cypriniformes; Cobitidae
Source: RefSeq, a predicted model, not a curated record
GCCCCGAAUCUUUUCAGAUCUGUAAAAUGAAUUCAUCCAGGACGCUAGGUGGCGGCACGCAGCUUUAACUCUCCGGUCCCCCACUGAACUGAAAAUGAAUAAGAGAUGCGUGUUGAAUGCAAAAUAACAUUCUGAAUCUCCACACAGUAAACGCCUUUUCAAAGUGUCUUUAUUAUUACAGUGCCUUCGUUAUUACUGUAAGUGUAUAUUUAUAGUUAUGUGAUGUAAAUACUGUUAAAUAGCGUCAACUGAUAUAUUAUCUGCAUGGCUAACGUCUAACUUACUGUGGUGCUCUGGUCUAGUCUGCCCCAUUGGUCAUUGGUAGUAUUUAAAGUACAUUUAAUAGCAGUGAAUUAAAACUCUGAAAAAACUUGCUCAUUGUUGCAUAUAUACUUUUUUAUAGAUGGAUAUACGAUUUAUAUUUUUAAAGACGUCAGAAGUAAGAAGGUGAGAAAGUAUAUAGUUAGUUAGGUAGCUUAUGUUUUGUCCAUAUGCAUUUGAAAUUCGCAAUGAUUUUACCUCAGAAAUACAUUGAUAGACAGUUAUAAAAUGUGAAUCCCCAAUCUCUUACAUUAAAAUAUCCUUAUGUGUGAUAACUGUCAGUGCAAAUAGGAAGAGAGGAAGGUGUUGAUGGAAAGUGUGUUUGAAAAGAAGGGUAGUUAAAAUGUAAGAUAAAAUGUCUUUUUCUUUCCAUGUUGAAUCUGAAUUAAAAUGUUCAAAUCUAGAAAUCAUUCAUGUUUAAGUACAUGGUAAGAUUUGGUGGGAGUGUAAAGAACCAUAUGCAUCAUAUUUAUGUGUGUAUUUUAAGACAUUAUUUUGUUUAUUUACAUUUAUAUGAUUUAAUUGUUCAAUAAAAGGACUUUUAUUUUGGUAGCGCCUCCGCUUGGUGUAAUGGAUUUAAUGGUGUACACCUGCUAUGGUGACAGACAAACACUAAUGCAAUGUGAAGCACGGUAACCAAGGCAAGGUUUAUGGAUCCUGUGAAUCUUAAGUUUAGAUCCUGGUUUAAGGGGGAACAAGCUCUUACGGUGGUUCAUUUGUGUUAUUGAAUGGCCACAAUAAAAUGCUGUGAAUCAUCAGUAAAAGAGUCGACCGCUUUAUUAACCAGGAUGCUACAGAGAGAGAUCACAGAUAGACAGAAAGAGAGAGAAACGCUUCCAUAAGCAGGUGAGAAAUUGUUCUGUCAAUGAAGUCAAAAAUUGUUAUUCUUAUGUAGCUUUAUAGUUACUGGAUUAGCCUUCAGCAAACAUGUUUGCCUAUUUUUGGAUAAGAGAAGUUAAAGUAUCAUUGUCAAAAUUUGUUAUGUUGCAGUUUCAAAAUGACAAUACCAGUGUUGGGUAAGUUACUCAAAAAAGUAAUUAAUUACUAGUUACAUGAGUAAUUAAUCUUCAAUCAUGUAAUUAAAUUACUUUACAAAUUACUCCAAAAAGUAUUUAAUUAUUACUAAUUACUUUCUAAAUCCUAUUUAGUACAUGAUACAAGGAUAGGCUUGAAAUGGCUUGAAGAAACAAUAUAUAAAAGUACAUCAAUUAUUCUGGUCCCACUUUAGUGUCCAUUUCUCUCUAUUAAUUAACUAUUAACUACUUUUGCCUCAAUAUACUCCAACUACUGCUUAUUAAUACUAAAGUAGUGGUUUAUUUUAAGUAUUUGUAGAAAUGGGGAGGGUUAAGGGUGUAGAAUAAGGUUUUGCAGAAUCAGGCAUUAAUAUGUGCUAUUUAAGUAGGCCUACUAAUAAACAGUCAACAUCUCAGUAAUAUUAAUGCUAAUAAUCAACCAGUUAAUAGUGAGAAUUGUAAACUAAAACCAUGUUAAAUCCACUAUUUAUUAUAGUAUACAUAAUUGUUCUACAGUCCAUAGACAGUAUUUAGUUACAUCAGAAGUAACUGUAAUUCGAUUACAAGAAAAAUAAGAGUAAUCCCUUACAUUACUUUUUCAAGUAAUUAAAUUACAGUAACAAAUUACUUAGUAACUAGUUACACCCAACACUGGACAAUACAGAGAACACUUAGAUUAAAAAAUUGUUUAUAAAGCUGCCGUAAAUGGAGAAAAAAUAUCAACAGGGGACCAAGCUUUGAAACCCCUAGAUUUGGGCUAAGCCCCCAAUGUCUACAAUGUCUGGCUCCGCCCCUGGAUUGUCCUAUCUCCAAUGUCUGCCUUAUAGCAUUCUUCCAUCUUAGAAAUAUCUUGAAAAUACCCAUAUGCUAUCUGCUAUCCACGCUUUUAUUACCUCAAGAUUAGAUUAUUGUAACUCGUUACUUGUUUCAGCUGGUUCGAACCGCCGCCGCAAGAGUGUUCACUCGAUCUAAAAAGUAUGACCACAUAAGCCCAAUUUUGGCAUCUUUACACUGGUUACCAGUUAAAUAUUGCAUGAAUUUAAAAAUAUCGCAAAUUACCCUCUAAAAACCGUUGGGUUAUUUGUUUUACCCAAUAGGUGGGUUAAACAUAUUGGGUUGUUCUGUUGGGUUAUUCCUAGCUUUUAUUGGGUUAUUUCUAUAACAACCCAGACAGAUGGGUUAAAAUCGGGCUCACGUCACGCAAUUUGAAUUUCAAUGGUCAACAGGUGCCACUGCUGAGUGCGGACAGACGAGAGGUGAAGUAUUUUGGCCGAGACCCCACAGAUGGCAGGAUGAGAUUAUCACGUAAAGUUCUUCAGUCUCCAGCAGCGACUGUAGUGAAGAGUCUCAGUGAGAAACAGAGCAUCUCUAUAGGAGAAUCUCAAGACUCAUAGAGCUCUGCUCAUUACUAUCUUUUGUACAUGACAUAUUUUAUUAUAAUAAAUCUGCUUAUUAUUACAAACACAACUCUGCCCUUUGCAUUUCAUGCGUUUACAACAUCAGCAGAUAAUGAGAUUUGUUUCUUCACAACCAGACACCAAAUCUACUGAUAAAAACAUUUAUCCAUACUGUUUCUCUCUGGUAAACUGAACCUCCAGCCUUCACCCAAGUCCACCACAACUUUUAAAAAACAACACAUAUUCACCAGACUAACAUAUAACUCUUAACUUUUACACUAAAUGUAAAAUACCUUUUUAAAAUAAAAACCUUUCAUGUACACAAGAAA